CACCGAGUCCGAGGUUCCGGGCGCACACCGGGACCUGGUGCAAAAGGGA
This 49-nucleotide small RNA is filed under the name Actinobacteria bacterium OK074. Its description in RNAcentral is "raiA-hairpin RNA". It matches the Rfam family "raiA-hairpin RNA". The record is from Rfam by way of RNAcentral. Lineage: Bacteria; Bacillati; Actinomycetota; Actinomycetes.